This is a non-coding RNA of Phasianus colchicus (ring-necked pheasant), 1298 nucleotides long. The record is from RefSeq and is a predicted model, not a curated record. Lineage: Eukaryota; Metazoa; Chordata; Aves; Galliformes; Phasianidae.
GGACGGGGGGAGGCGGCUCCCGGCCCGGGGGAGGAACUACAAGUCCCGUGAAGCAGCGCCGCCCGCCCGCCCGUCGCCAGCGGGGCUUUAUAAGCGGGGAAAUGGCCCAAACGCCGCAGUCGGAGCAUCUCUGCGUGCGGUGGUACGGGCUCUGUUUGGGCAGGGAGCGAUAGCGAUGCCGGACCGAUCCCCUUCCACUCGUAUCUCCCCCCUCGAGCAUCUCGGGGUCGUCCGUCCCCGCCGGGAGAUGUGAGCACGGAUGGUUGUGGUGGUGGGGUGAUGCGGCGGCUGGGAGGCGGCCCGCUGAGGUUUUGGUAACUGCCAUCCUGAUGGGCAGAUGGAUGUGAUGGCUGUUGGAGUGUCCUUUGUACCUGGAAGAGAGAAGGCACAAUCAGCCUGACCAUGUGUGGGUUUGGGACUUUUCCCCCUUGGCCAAGCAAGGAGGAUUUAUCCUGAUGUCUUCUGUCUGCUGGGAUCUCACAUCUGGAGCCCUCUUGGACUGCUGUGGGUUUUGGAUGCACCCUUCUGCCUGUAGCUGGAAAUGCGCGCUGCUGCCAGGUGGCCACAGACACCUGCUCCUCUAAAUCUGCUGGAUUAUUUCUUUUGGCAUCGCUCAGCCAGCAUGGCAGCUUUUCCUCUACUCGUGCAACUGCCUUUGGUGUUUGAGAUCACCUGACUUACAAAUGUAGAAAGCUGCAGUUGCAGCUCAGCGCUGCAGACACCUCUCCUUUUUGGGCUACUAUUUCUCAGCAUUGCAGCACUCUGGGAGAAGACCACAUCCAUACACACGUGUGGGAAUAUCCUGCUGCUCCGAGUCAGGGCUGCCUUUGCUCCGUUUGGGGCACUCUUCAAUGAAUUUUGUGUGAACUGCUCUACUGUUGCUGGAGCUGCACGGCCGCAGGUUUACAUGCAUAUGUGUGGAUAUAUGACUGAAGAAGACUGGCUUGAAGUUUUGCUUUGGGAACCAAUUGCUGGUGGAGUCCCAGUCAGAUGCAUCUAAACCAUCCCUGUGCCCACAGCUCUCCUGGGCAUCAGUGCUGGGGCUCCACUGUGCACUGAGCCACCGUGGGGUUAUGUGAGCAGCACUGCACUGAGGUGUUGUAUUCAGCACUGACAGCUGCUCUCCUCCAUCACCACCACUGGCUCUGUGUCUGCAGGUGGAUGUUCCCAUCCUUUGUGCAAAGUGCUGCUGGGGAUGUGCUCAGAAGGGGAAAAUAAGGCCGGGAUCCUCAUUUAACUGAACUGUUUGAGCCAACCUGGAGAAAAUGUUUUUCUUGCCAAGAGCUUAAAGGGAAGGA